CGCAAUAUUGCUUUAGGCAAUAUUAGAGAAGGGUAUUGCUGCAAACCUACCACUCGUGAGCGUAUGUAAAGGGUGGAGGAUAUAUGAAUCAUUUCCGACUUAAACUAAUUACACUACUGAUUUGUUGAUGUCGAGCACUUUUUAAGCCAAUCAACAACUUGUCCAUAAUUUUGUACUGCAGCCAAAGGAUUUCACAAUACCUCCGACAGGGGGUUGUUUUGUUGCGGCUCUAAGAGCAACACCACCAAGGAACACUCAUCCAGUGCUGUGCCUUAUUCCUCACUACUGCAUUCAGGAGACGCCCAGAGUACUGCUUUGCUGCAUAUUAAAUGCCUUGAGGUUUACUGCCAUCACUAUUUGUUGCUGUUUGUUUCUGUUUGUUUUGGCCAUCUUGCUCCUGUGCUCCUUCAAUUAUCUCACCAUGGAGAAUAAAGACACUCCAAACUUG
This is a long non-coding RNA of Electrophorus electricus (electric eel), 448 nucleotides long. RefSeq lists it as uncharacterized. NCBI's taxonomy places the organism in Eukaryota, Metazoa, Chordata, Actinopteri, Gymnotiformes, Gymnotidae. The record is from RefSeq and is a predicted model, not a curated record.